AAAUAAGAAGCAAAACAUUGCAUUUAGUUUCGACCUAAAAGUUUGGCCCGCCCGCCCUUAUUUG
Molecule: transfer RNA, 64 nt
Filed under: Tenebrionoidea sp. 20 KM-2017
Lineage: Eukaryota; Metazoa; Arthropoda; Insecta; Coleoptera
Description: tRNA-Arg
Source: RNAcentral